AGAGUUUGAUCAUGGCUCAGAUUGAACGCUGGCGGCAUGCCUUACACAUGCAAGUCGAACGGUAACAGGUUAAGCUGACGAGUGGCGAACGGGUGAGUAAAGUAUCGGAACGUGCCCAGUCGUGGGGGAUAACUACUUGAAAGAGUGGCUAAUACCGCAUACGACCUGAGGGUGAAAGCGGGGGACCGUAAGGCCUCGCGCGAUUGGAGCGGCCGAUAUCAGAUUAGCUAGUUGGCGGGGUAAAAGCCCACCAAGGCGACGAUCUGUAGCUGGUCUGAGAGGACGACCAGCCACACUGGGACUGAGACACGGCCCAGACUCCUACGGGAGGCAGCAGAGGGGAAUUUUGGACAAUGGACGCAAGUCUGAUCCAGCCAUGCCGCGUGCGGGAAGAAGGCCUUCGGGUUGUAAACCGCUUUUGUCAGGGAAGAAACGCUCCUAUCUAAUACAUGGGGGUAAUGACGGUACCUGAAGAAUAAGCACCGGCUAACUACGUGCCAGCAGCCGCGGUAAUACGUAGGGUGCAAGCGUUAAUCGGAAUUACUGGGCGUAAAGCGUGCGCAGGCGGCUUUGCAAGACAGAUGUGAAAUCCCCGGGCUCAACCUGGGAACUGCAUUUGUGACUGCAUCGCUGGAGUACGGCAGAGGGGGAUGGAAUUCCGCGUGUAGCAGUGAAAUGCGUAGAUAUGCGGAGGAACACCGAUGGCGAAGGCAAUCCCCUGGGCCUGUACUGACGCUCAUGCACGAAAG
Molecule: ribosomal RNA, 749 nt
Filed under: uncultured bacterium
Lineage: Bacteria
Description: bacterial SSU rRNA
Rfam family: Bacterial small subunit ribosomal RNA
Source: RNAcentral